Chelonia mydas (Green sea turtle) is the source of this 6559-nucleotide long non-coding RNA. RefSeq lists it as uncharacterized. The transcript is spliced from 7 exons. The record is from RefSeq and is a predicted model, not a curated record. NCBI's taxonomy places the organism in Eukaryota, Metazoa, Chordata, Testudines, Cheloniidae.
CGGCGGGGCUGAUCGGCUGAAACGUGGCUUGGGCGGUGCGUCCCGGCUGCUGCCUCGAGCCUUGCGGCGCGGGUGCGGGGCGCUGCGCUCUGCCGCUUGGCGCGGCCCAAACGCGGUGUCAGGCGCCGCACAGGGAGCGCGAAAUAACCUUGGCCCGGACAGCGGUCUGCUCCCGAGCAGUAGCAGACAGUUCGCCCCUCUUCCUCCUGUUCAGGGCUGGAGCUGUUCUCCGCGACAUCCAGCAAUUCGUGCUGGAAGCAAAACAGGCGUUUUUAUGUUCAUCAUCUCUGGUCCUGUGAAACUGAGCUGUUACUGCUCCGCUUUAUGAUGCGUGGAGUUCACACUUGCCCAGGCAUCUGUAUCAAUCCUGCUACUUUCCUCCAAGUGUAAUAUGAUACUAGUAGCUGUGUGUGCGUGGAAUAAACUUGCUUUAACUAUGAACUAUGGAGAUAAACUUUAUGGUGAUAUCCUGGAAGUUGUGCAGAAUAAUUAAGCCCUUCAUGAAAACAUCAACAGUUCUUGAAGACUAUAUGAUGUACAAUUGUGGAUGUUCCUGAAUGUUUAAGAAUGUGACUUAUUAGCAAGUAUCCAGUGGAGAAUGAAUGAAUAACUGACAGCGCAGUUGGGAUAUAAAACUACUUGCGACUCUAGUGCUACUAAGACAGAGUUCUCUGAAGGCUGACUCAAUAUUAAAGUGAAAUGGUGGAAAAUGUACAAGCAGAUGCAUUUAGUUAUGCAGUGAUGAGGUGGAAUUUUUGUAUCAUCACCUGACAAGUGUGGAUGGUAUCACUGGAAGAAGUCCAACACCUGAAGAUACUCACAUACCAAGAUUUUAACAACAAAAAAAUUUACCAGGUUUAUGCUUCUGAAAUAGUUUGUGGAAUUGUUUGGUAGUUAAUAUUUCUAAAAUGUCACAUGGCACAGAACCAGUUGGUUUCCACUUUUAAAACUGUGAGCAAUCAUGUUUUGUGGAAAUCUGAAGGUUUUGCCAAAAGUGAAGACCCAGCUCCCUCUAGUGAAACCAAAGCUAGAAACUGCAUGUGGAAUCAAAGAAGAGAAAAUUCAGUUUUGCUAGAAUCAGUCACAUUUAACAUUUUAUGUUUUCAGACAUGACUUCUCUCAGGAGAUUAUGGUGGCUGAAGGGAAAUAGAACAUACUUUAAAACUUUUUUAAAAGUGUAGCAUAAUUAAUUUUUUUCUGUUUUAUCAGGAAAGGCUCCCCUGCUCAGUAAAGAAAAUACUAAGGGCAACAAACAAUAAGCUUCAGUAGCGGGGUGGAAAAAACUCCCAGUGGCUAGCUGGUCUCCUGUGAAAGAAAUAAAGCACAAUUUGCUAUUACUGAGGAAAAACUUACCUCUAACAGUAAUAAAAUAAUAAAUAGUCAAUGGAAAACCCAGGCACCCCAUGUAAAAAGAUGGAGAGUACUAAUAAUGCAGAAAAUCAUAGUAAUGAGUCUUCCCCCUUUUGAGUACAGUAUCAUUCAGGAAGUGAAAGAGGAAGAUCAGGUUGUGGUAUUAAUCAGUGAAGGCACUGAGGAAGCAAAAAUAUCGGACAUUUGUGAGAAAGCAAAAUUCAAGACUCAUGGGAGGAGUUGUGGUCACAAGAGAAAACAAGGCUUAAACCACAGCCUGGGUUCUGUUUAUGCUGAUAGGGAAAGAGAAGUAAGUUUUUUUUUUUUAUGCACCACUGCCCAACCACAUGAAAAGACCAAUGUCAUUGGUGUGGAACUUUUUUCUCUUGAUCAGAAAGAUGCUAUCAAUGCAUGUUGUUUGUGUGGAAAAGAGGUCAGUAGAGGGAAGAGAGGCAGGCACACACAUGGGGACUUGUGGUUUCUUAAAGCAAGUGAAAAACAACCAUGUGGGAGAAACAUCUCUGCUGCAUUCAGCCCUAAUGCAGUAAGGAAAGAGGUGGAGGAGAGGGGUCAAACAUCUGAUAAAUUGCAGGCCACAAAGGCUGCAGUGAGUGGCAUAACAUCCAGUAUGCCCUUUAGUAUCAUCCUCAACCCUAGUGUUAGGUAGGAAAGCAGAAUGAAAGAGUGAUACACAGCAAAUGACAACCUACACUUAAACACGCAUUUCAGAGUAUAAGAAAAACCAUCCUAUAAUCCCCAUACUUAAUACAGAACUGGCAAAAAUGCUAGUUGGGGGCUGCAGCCCUUUUCAUUUGUCGAGGCAGAGGGCUUUCAGGCACUAGUGGAAUACACCAUUCCCAAGUGGCGCAUACCUAGCAAAACCUACCUUUCAGCUAAGGCAAUACCACAGUUGUACAAAACUCUCCAGAUAACUGUGUCCAAGGCAUUGAGGAUGUCAGAGGGGAGGAACAUCCAUCUGACCACUGAAAUGUGGACUAGUGGUCAGACCAGGGGUGGGCAAACUUUUUUUUGGCCUGAGGGCCAUGUCAGGGUUGCACAACUGUAUGGAGGGCCGGGUAGGGAAGGCUGUGCCUCCCCAAACAGCGUGGCCCCCACUCCCUGUCACCUGACUGCCAUGACAACCGCCCCCCAGAACCCCACCCCAUCCAACUCCCCCUGCUCCCCAUCCCCUGACUGCGCACCCCCCCCCCAUAACCUCUGCUCCAUCUAACCGCUCCCUGUCCUCUGACUGCCCCCGGAACCUCCCGCCCCCUUACCAUACUGGAGCCACCCACGCUGCUGCCAUGAGUGGUGGGCCAGAGCACUGGUGGCGCAGUGCGCUGAGACUGCGGGGAAGGGGCUGGGCAGGAUGGUACUGUGGGCCAUGGUUUGCCCACCUCUGGGUCAUGGACUGUGUGUAUAUCAGCUCACUGAGUAUCUCUUCCUUUUCAGUUAUCUGUGGCAGCAGGUAGCCAGACCCAUUGGCCACAGACUACAGCCUGCAAAACUGUAUUUUCCGUUUUGAAAAACCCUACAAUCCAUUGUGUAUUGGAGAAACUGCAGAAUAUUAAUGCAGAAUGGCUUUCCCCUUGCUCACUUUUAGCAGGGUUUAUUACUUCUGAUGAUGGCACAUACCACGUUAGUCCCAUUAAGGAAGGGGGGAUACUUUCAUGUGCCAUGCUUUGUACACAUUUCUUGAUGCAAUAGUUCAUUCAUUACUGAACAAAGAUGAUGUGAAAAACAUGCUGGCCAUUGCACAUAAAGUCUGCAGUCACUUCAGCCAUUCCUUUACAGCUGCUUAUACUUUACAAGAACUGCAAAGGCAAAAUGGCCUUCCAUUGCACCAACUACCAAACACCAUGGGCUAAACCAGUGGUUCUCAAACUUUUGGACUGGUAACCCCUUUCACAUAGCGCACCUCCUUAUCAAUUAAAAACACUUUAUAUAUUUAACACAUUGUAAAUGCUGGAGGCAAAGCAGGGUUUGGGGUGGAGGCUGACAGCUCCCAACCCCCAGUUUGAGAACCGCUGGGCUAGACAAACGGAAUUCCACUCUCUAUGCUCGAGCAAUUACUGGGGCAAUACAAAGCUAUUAGUGACUAUGCAGUGCCUCAGAGGUAUGAAGGAAGCAAUCUGUUUCUAACGCUUCCACAGUGGCGUUUUAAGAAAAGUCUGUGUAGUAUGCAGAGACCUUUUGAUGAAGCUUUCUGAUGGGGUGCUAAAAAGAUGCUAGUCUUAGCCAAGUCAAUCUGCUCAUUUGCCUCCUAGAGGGCAAAAAAGUGCCACCUGCAAGAACAGUUUGGAGAAGUGGAUGUUAUUGCAGCAGUAUAUUGGCUAAAUAGUAUUUUACCCAUUCUGAAAGAAGGCUCGUAUAAUUUAUAUUGGGGGGUCUGAGGAGUACAUUCUUGCUUUCUUUAGAUCCAUGAUUUAAAGUACAUUACCUGUCUUUCUCCCAGGUCUAAUACAGAAUAUUACCAAAAUGUUCUCUCAGAUACAGUUGCUAAAUGUGUUUCCACUAGAACUGGUGAGAAAACAAGCUCCUCUAGCAUCAGGUAUCAAAUAGAAGAAAGUUGGAGCAAAAUUGAAAGAUUUCAGUGUUCAGAAGGUGAGAUCUUUUUGGGUACCUCAUAGGCAUCACACUCCACGCAUUCCAAAAUGUCACUCUGGGAUUUGUUCCUUGAUCUAGAUUUGAUUAAAGUAGCAGAAAAGGGUACCAUGCUAGAAGAUCCUGCAUCUCUGAUUAUGAAAUGGUGGAGGCCUACCUCCAGGAGCAGUUAUUUUACACAAAAUGAUGAGCCUUUGAUCUCUUAGCUUGGUAAGAGAAGGGUUUGGCUAGCACUAAGCAUAGUAGCUAUGGAAUAUCUUCGCUGCCUUCUGGUGUGAUAUUCAUAAAAAUGAACAAGCAUUUUUUUGCCACUUGACUACACUUUGGAAGAUGACCUGGGAUAUGGGAUUAGUGAGGAGGGACUGGGAAGAAGUGCGUGAUGCCUCUAGUUUUUGGGGGAAAUUACUUCCUCUGAACAAUGUAUCUUUCUCAACUUUUUUAGUGUUUGAUUUUAAUGUGGUAUUUUGUGUUCAUUACUUUGUGUGGCACAGAUAUAGGGUGACAUUUGAUAUAAACAGAAGUAAUUAAAUGUAAAUCAUGGCAGAGUUUUUAAUGCACAACAAGAAAAAUCAGUCAGUUACAUGAUUUUAUAAGAUUGCUGUUUAACAAGAUGUAAGACCUUUUAAACUUAAGUUGCUUUGUAAAUGAAGCAUUAAAACAUUACAUGCAUCAAGCAAAACUUUAUACUGACAUCCUGUACCAAUAUUCAUUGGAUUUGAAUGUUGAAGUAUGUAGCAAGCCAGGAAAUGAGAAGUUAAAGCUACAUGUGAGAAUAAACCAUAUACCUUUUCUCAGAUUUUUACCUUCAUCAAAUUACAGCUGGGCAUGGAGGGAAAAAUGGAAUGGUGCUGCAUAAAUUCCUUGGUACCACUUACAUUUUUUGCUUUUCCAGGAUGAGGCAGGCACCUGCACCCUCUUCAUGCAGGGACAUUCUGCUUUUGUCUGUAAGUAGGCUAGGAAGGAUUUGACUGAGUGGUAAAUGUUGGCAAACAUUGAUUUCGCUAUUUAUAUGGAUAAUAAAAAUUCACAGAUAAACAGUGUUUUUCUUACAUUGCCGGAGCCCCAAGUUUGAUUUAAGGAUAUUAGUAUCUUUUAAUAUGUGGUGUUAAUAGGUGUCCUUAUAAACCUCUAACUUUUUUUCAUCUCAGUGUCUGCUGUCAUUAAAAAUAGUUGAAGCCUGUGUGCAGUCCUUUGUGCAGCUGAACUUAAAAUGAACUUAAAACUGGUUUAAAAAAAAAAAAAAGAGAAUGGGAUUCAUCAAAUUCUGUAUGCUAAGCAGCUCUUUCCCUAAGCUAGGCUGUGGGAGAUGCUGAUAAGGAAUGUGCUCUAUGGACAAGAAUCCAUCUCCUGCUGUCAAACAGUUUAGGUUCCCCUAAGCUGUUUCUUGUGAAUAUUAGGCAACUGCACAGACAGGGGAAGUGGAGAUGGUGCCUCAAGUUUUAACGUGGGCGUUAAGAGUAUUUUUAUAGGGUAGGGAUGAGGCAGACCCACAUUCAAUUCCAAAGAGCGUUCUUUGCAUGUUAUGGGAGAAUUUCCUAACCACUAAACUUGGGGGUUACUCUGAUAGAGGUCUCUGUCAGUGUGUCUUAGUAAAGCUGUUGUGCUGUGUGUAGACAGUCAUUGGAUAAUGGAGAGUGGAUGCUUCCUUCCUAGCUCAGGUGUGGGUGCCCUGACUAUCAGGCUGAAAAGUCAUUGGGCUAGAGCGUGUCUCUAAAGUAUCCAAAUUCAAACAGUUUCAGGCAAGAUAGGUGGAGAGCGUCCUUCUCUCUUAUUCCUCCCACCCCCACCCCACCCCCCGGUAGAGCAGUGGGGCUUAGGUAGGAGCCAGGUGGUCAGACACCUAGUGAUGCUGCAGUGCAUAUGCUCAGAGCCAGCAAGUUAGGUGCCUAAGAAACUUUUGCAGCACAAAUUUAGGUGUCAAGUAAUGUUAGGCACUAGCUGAGCAGGGAUUUUGUGGAUUCCAGUGCGGCCUAAAUCUGGUGUUUAGGCACCUUGCUAUCUUUGGGCAUCUGGUCCUUAGUGCCUAGCACAAAGCUUGAUGAGGGGGCUCUGUGUUGUCCUCGGACAUUAUCCAUGAAAGUGAUACGUUCCCAGAGUGGAGAUGGAAACUUAGAAAUGGAUUUGGUAGAGUCUAGGCAGAAAUAACACUGAGGAAGAAGCAAAUAGAAAUAAGACAUGGCAUCAAAUGCCAAGGUCCUUUGUUUUCUCAAUUGGUCUGUGGCAGACUACCUGUUCCAUUCUUUAGUCUAGUUAAGCUAUUCCAUUCUUUAGUCCAGCAGUUUUUGAACCUUGGGGCCAAGGCCAAAAUCAUUUUCACCCCCUUCCCACCUCAGAAAAGUCACUAGGCAACUCCUGGGACCUACAGCAGGAAAGUCAUGCUCAUGCAGGGGUGAGAAUUUCAUUUGCUGUUCUGGGCCAUGCGCUGGAAUAUAAAUUUGCUAUAUACUCCCUUUAAUUCCAAAGCAGUACUUCUGUUGAUGUUAGUGGGAGGUUUGCAGAGAGAUAAAGUACACUAAAAAGACCUUUAUGUAAUUAAACUUACCCUUAUCUGUACAAUACUUCAUUGCUGUACUCGACAUUAAACAAAACUUACUUUUAGAACAAA